GAUGAACGCUGGCGGCGUGCCUAAUACAUGCAAGUCGAGCGAACAGACGAGGAGCUUGCUCCUCUGACGUUAGCGGCGGACGGGUGAGUAACACGUGGAUAACCUACCUAUAAGACUGGGAUAACUUCGGGAAACCGGAGCUAAUACCGGAUAAUAUAUUGAACCGCAUGGUUCAAUAGUGAAAGACGGUUUUGCUGUCACUUAUAGAUGGAUCCGCGCCGCAUUAGCUAGUUGGUAAGGUAACGGCUUACCAAGGCAACGAUGCGUAGCCGACCUGAGAGGAUGAUCCGCCACACUGGAACUAGGACAAGCACCCACAUCCUAACGGAGGCAGCAGCCGGGAAUCUUCGGCAGUGGGCGGAAGGCUGAAGGGGCGAAGCCGCGUGAGUGAGGCAGGUCUUCGGAUCGUAAAACACUGUUAUUAGGGAAGAACAAAUGUGUAAGUUAAUAUGAACGUCUUGACGGUACCUAAUCAGAAAGCAACGGCUAACUCCGUG
RNAcentral lists this ribosomal RNA (497 nucleotides) under uncultured bacterium. RNAcentral describes it as "partial 16S ribosomal RNA". It matches the Rfam family "Bacterial small subunit ribosomal RNA", at positions 28 to 507 of the family's 1533-position model. The record is from RNAcentral.